RNAcentral lists this ribosomal RNA (201 nucleotides) under uncultured bacterium. Its description in RNAcentral is "partial 16S ribosomal RNA". It matches the Rfam family "Bacterial small subunit ribosomal RNA", at positions 1300 to 1500 of the family's 1533-position model. The record is from RNAcentral.
GUAGUCUGNAACCCGACUACAUGAAGCUGGAAUCGCUAGUAAUCGCGGAUCAGAAUGCCGCGGUGAAUACGUUCCCGGGUCUUGUACACACCGCCCGUCACACCAUGGGAGUCGGAAAUGCCCGAAGUCUGUGACCCAACCUUAGGGAGGGAGCAGCCGAAGGCAGGUCGGAUGACUGGGGUGAAGUCGUAACAAGGUAUC